AAUGAGUUGUUUGCUUCUUCAUUAUCUUUUCGUUUUUCCAUGUUUCUACUUUUCCUUCCCUUCCUUUCAAGUUCUCAAGACCUGAUGCAUAAUAAAAAGUACAUUAAACUUUAUUAGGAUUAAGAAGAUGAAAACAUAAGAAUAUCAAUAAUUUUCAUUGGACAGACAUUUUAAUCGAAAUUAAGAGGUCUUAAGUUGAAGAAAAUAAAGGUGAGUAGUCUAUUGAAUUUUUGAAAGUUUUUGCAUAAUAAACUUGCAACCAUUUUCUUCUUAUCAAGUUCAUUUCAUUAAAUUUUGGCUACUCCUUUUUACUAUUUUCACGCAAAAAGAUUUCCAUCUUGCAAUGGUUUUCGUAUUUGUAAAUAAAAAUAAAAAUUAUUCUUAUUGAGGUUUUGUCAAACAUCAAAUGGUGCAUAAAGAGAAAGUAUAGUAUUUUUAGAUUCGCACAAUUAGUUUCUAACAUGUAUAAUGGACUACAAAACUAAAUCUCCCAUUUAUCAUGUGCAAUCUCUAGUCUAGAAAUCUGAUACUCUAUCCUCUUCAGACCACAUUCUGUUUUCUUUAAUUACCCCUCAUUUUUAGAUUUUAUUAGCAUUACUAUAGUGGGAUUUAAAAAAAAAAAUUAGGAUUUAUCCAUAAACGAGACCAAGUGGUACCAAACCUUUCCAUCUCUCAUAACUUAUAGUAAUAUAUUUUCAUUAGUGAGGGGGAUUUUUCGUCCUCUUAGAAAAAAAAUUUAAAAGAUCUGCUUCUAUUCACUCCGCUCUCUCCAACCCCCUCCCUCUCACCCAGUAAGAAUUCACCCUUACCAGAUGUUAAUACCAAACUAAUACAACUUAUCAUGAGAAAGUAAUAAUUUAAUGAGGUGAAUAUAUACAUUAACUAACUAGGAUUAAGUGAUUAUGUCAUGCAUAUUUGUUGUAAAUAGCCAGUGUGAGUAAGUAUUUAGUCCUCUCUUUCUCCUGCAUUUUGUUUCCCUUUAUAGAUCCAACUAACCUACCAAAUUUCUUUCAUUUUCCUUACAUCACUUUUACUUUUCCAUAAUUUUACUUCAAUAGAGAUGAGAGUAGCAAAUAUGAAACAAACUAUUAGAUGAGUAGACUAACCUUUUUAGUUGAUGAAACUAUAUAUCCUCUGCUUGCUUUGUUAUUAGAUCUAUAGAGCUCAAAAUUCUGGAAAUAAAAGAGGAAUAAUUAAGACAAAAAAUGAUGCAUAGUAUUAUUCCAAAAAGUCAAGAAAGCAAAAGCAUGAAUCAAUUACAGUGGGCAGAUUGUUGUUUAUCAUUUUAGUUUUAAAAAGAUUGUUUAUUCAACUUGUCGUAAUUGGCUAACGAUGAAUUUGAAAGGCCACCACCAACGUACAGAAAGAAGAAUCAAAUUGAUUGACAGUUCAUCCAAUAAUAUUAAAAUCCAAGGAGCAGAGCUGUUGAAAAUGAACAAGUGGUUCAGCAGGGGCGGCUCAAACCCGUUGGUGGCCUAAGGCCAAAAUUAAACUAGAGGCCUUAAUAAAAUUUUAAAAAAUUAAAUAUGUUUAUAUUUUAAAUCUAUUUUUCUAACUUUUUGAGAUGCAAAGUUGUUAAUAUUUUUUGUGUAGUCAUUCUCUUCUAAUAGUUCUUUUUUGAUCGAUAAUAUAGCCAAACCACUUAAUCUUUCUUGAGACAUUAUUGAUCUUAAAUAAGAUUUUAUUCUAAUUGGUCCCUUUUCUACUAAUAAGUCUCUUAACUUUGUAUCAACAAUAUUCCAUUGACUAGGAUCAUAGAUAUUUUUAGGAGUAUUGAUUAUUUAAUUCAUUUAUAAGUUCUUGAUUUUCUUGGGAAUCUACAUCCGACUUUUCAAUAAUUUCCUCUCCUUCUUCUUCUUUUUGGUUUAUAUCAUUAUCUAACUCAACUUCAACUAUAAGUUAGUGAUUUGUUCUUCUAAAGAGCAUUACCCAACCUUUUUGAUUUAAUUUUAACAUUGUUUUCCAAAAAAUUAUCAAAAGCACCUUUCUGAGAUUUUAUCAAGUUAUCGACUUUUCUUUUUCUUUUAAGUUUUGCAUGACCGGGUUCAUAUUUUCUAGUUGACAUAUUAAAAUCUAACAAAUAUAUUAAACACUAUUUACAAUAUCAAAUAAAAUAUAGGGAUAAGGCAUAAGUAACCCCCUAGACUAUGAUCGAAGUCCCAGAAACACACCUAAACUUAACUAAGGUCCUAUUACCCCCCUGAACUUAUUUUUUUCGUAUUUUUGUGCCCCUUUUGUGCUGACGUGGCACCUUCAACCACCCAAGUUGGUUGUGUUUGUACACACUCGCCUGCCAUGAGUGUAAAUUAUUAAUUUUUUAUUUUUUUAAUUAAAAAAUUAAAUUUUUUCUUAAUUUUUUUUUCAAAAAUGAAAAUUUUAAUUUUUAAAAAAUAUUCUUAUUUUCUGUAUCUUGUAUUUAAAUUAAGUUAAUACACAAUUUUUUUAACUUGUAUCAAAACAUUUUUUUAACCUACAUUCAUUGUUUUUUCUCUUUUAUUUUUCUAUUGAUUUUAAUUUCUUUGUCUUUCGUUUUGAUUUGAUUUCAAAUUUAAUUCCAAAUGUCUUGUAUUUAAAAUAAGUUAAUUUUGAACGAAUAUCAAAAUAAGUGAAGAAAAUCAAAUAAAACAUAAAAAAAUUAAAACGUUAAAAUUAAAGGACACUUUUAAUUUUUUUUUUAAAUACACGUAAUUUUUAAAAAAUAAUUAAAAGUGAAAAGAUAAAUUAAUUAAAAAAAAUUAAAGUGAAAAGAAAUUACAAUAAAUAUUUUACAAAGAAAGAAAUAAAAAUAAUUAAAUAUAUACAAGUUUUAAUAUCAAUAAAUAUGUGUACUAACUAAUUAUAAAGUUACCAAUAAAAAAAUAACAUGUGUCCAAUUUGUGCACUCAUCGCUUGCCUUCAAAAGAGUGUGCAGAUCUCUUUGCCAUGUCAGCGCUUGUAGUGUAUUUAUUCCAUUUUAAAUUAGCUUAGGGGGUAAUAGGACUCUAGUUAAUUUUAUGUGUGUCUCUGAGAUUUCGGUCAUAGUCUAGAGGGGUACUUGUGUAUUAUCCCUAAAAAAUAUAAUAAACAUAAGACACAAGACAAAAAUAAUAUUAGCAAUUAGAAUGGUAUUACCGGAUUCAAGAACUAUGAAGACUUGAUUUCCGAAAAUGAAUUGGGCUGCUGCGAUAUAUUUUUCUCCAAAUUUAAAACAUAAACUAUAAUUUUUUUAAAAAUUGAAAUUAUCAAUAGAACAAGUAAAUUCUUAAGUUUUGAAUAAGAGAGAGAUGUAAGAUUAGAAAAGAGAGGAAGAGACAAUGAUAGAAUAUAUAAAAAUAAAAUUAGAAAAAGAAUAAGGUAAAAAAAAAAAAAGAUAGCUUGUACAGUUAAAAGAAGGCAGAAUGACCUGGGAGAUCCUUCUACUUUACUCUGUUUGUCACCUGGACCCUUCUACUCGGCACUUUGCCAACUGAACACUUAAAGUUAUUAAAACAUAUUAUUUUAAACCCCUCUGAUCAUGUGUGUCUCUCAAUCGUGCUGAUAUGGAUAACACCUCACUAUUCACAUCAGAUAUAUAUUGCCACGUCAUUUUUUUUAUUACAAAUAAUAUUUUUAAGGGAAAAUGCACCAACUUAUGUCCGAAAUCUCAGAGACGCACUUAUACUAUACUAAGGUCUCAUUACCCCCAAACUUAUUUUAUAAAUAAUUUUCUACCCCUUUUCGACCUACGUGACAUUAUCAACCAGAUAACUUGAAAAAAUUGUCAACAUGCACUGGGCCUAGAAGAUAAUGACACGUAGGCCGAAAAGGGGAAGAAAGUUAUUUAUAAAAUAAGUUCGGGGGUAAUAGGACCUUAGUAUAGUAUAAGUGUCUCUCUGAGAUUUCGGGCAUAGGUUGGGGUUACUUCUGCAUUUUCCCUAUUUUAAAAUAUAAAUCUCAAACUAAUCUCCAAAAUCCUUUCUUUCUUGAUUUCUUUCCAGUUUUCUUCUCUUGCCAUAUUUUUCAUGUAUUUUGGUACUUAGAUUUUAUGUUAUCAUUCUUUUUUUUUUCUUUCCUAGUGAUUUUUUUUACGUUGAAGAGGAAUUAGCGAUAAACAAAGCUUUGUUAUGUUUUUUAUGAUAAUUUUUGUUAUUUUAAUGGUGGUGAGAAAUAAAGUGUCUAAAAUGGAGGAUGAGAGAAAGAAGAGAAGGAGACCAAAAUGGGUCAUUAUAAAAAAAACUCUUCCAAAAUGCUCUCAAUAAAAUUGUGUUACAUUUAGAAAGAAUCAAAUAUAUGUUUUUCAAAAACCAUCUAAAAUCUGUAUUUAUUUCACAAUUUAGAACAUCUUUUUUUCCCCUCUCUUCUACCAAAAUCUAAAUAAAUUUAUUAUUCCCAAUCAUUGUAGAACUCUCAAAUGAUAGGAAACAUAUGAGAAGAGAAAGAGGAAGAAUUGUGUGUAAGAACAUUAGAAGAAAUCGAAGAAGAUGUGCAUGUGGUGAUGGUGGGUGUUGGGUGAAAUUAUGAGGAAGAAGAAGAAAGUACAACGUAUUGGGAAUGGAGAUUUUUUUAAAAAAAUUUUAAAAUCGUUAAUUUUUCUUUUAAUUUAAAUAUUUGUUAAAAUUUAAAUAAUUGUCUUCACUUGCUUUUAAAUGUGUGUAACCACACUCUUGAUCUGAUUCAGCAAAAAAAGCCACAUAAGUUAGUCAAUGAUCAAAGGGGUUUAAAAUAGUAUGUUUUAAUAAUUGUAAAUGUUCAGUUGAUAAAGUCGUGAGUAGAAGGAUCUAGGGGACAAACAGAAUCAAGUACAAGAGUCUUUCAGCUCAUUCCGCCUUAAAAGAAAGUACGUAUUAUUUUUUAUUGGAAAGAUAAAAAGUAAUAGUCAUAUCAAAUCACCUCAUUUAAUGCCAUUUGGAUUUGGAGUCUUAAUUCUAAUUUAUUUAUUAUUUUAGUUUAAUCCUACCUAUUUGGAUUUGGAGUCUUAAUUCUAAUUAUUAUUAUUAUUUUAGUUUAAUCCUACCUAAUAAACUAAAAAAUGAGGACCCUAAAAUUGGGGGCUAAGGCCAAAGUCUUUUUUUCCAACCCUUUCCAGCCGCCCCCGAGUGGUUGUCAUUUUAUAGUAUAAAGUUCAGUGGAGACUUUCAUCAAACACAUUGUAGACAGUUUUGAACAGCCAAAAAAUCUGAGCAUUUAGUAAGCCAACUAGAAGCAGAGUUGGAAAGAAUCUAGCAAAUUGGUAAAAUAUUGAGGAAAAAAAAAAGAAAAGGAGAAGAACCUGUUCUGGUGCUGCAAUCGCCGAUGUAGACUGAUGAGAAUUUAUCCCUCAAAUUAUGGUGCACGUGAACCCAUGACCUCACCCCUCAAAUUGAUCUAAUAUUAUUUGUUGAUAUAGAGAAGAGUGAAUGGUGAAUUAUAUACCUAGAAACAACGACCAAAUUCCCCCUUAAUACUUUCUUUUUCCUCCUUUCAUUAGCCAUGCAUUCAUAUUCUAGAAGUUCUAGAUUUACUUACGAGGUGUAGACUUUUAUUAGUAGUAAAAGCCUCAAAGCAAAUCAGGCCAAAAGUUAUCUUACUAAUCCCAAUACGAACAAGAAAGAGAAAAAAAAUCAAAUAUGAUACAAAUGCUAUUAUUUGAAAUAAGAAAUAAAAAAUCAAAUAUUAUUGCUUCAAAGUAACUUGAUGAUCUUGCUCUUUGUUUUGCAAAUCAAUUAAAUACAUUGAAUUACACAUGGUCUUGGCAACUUGCCUCACGGAAAAGGAUCUUGGAGGUAUAUCAAAUCUCUUAGAGUCGAUAUGCACCUACACAUCUUGAUUUUACUCUAUCGGGAGUACGUACUCCAUGUAUUGCUUGACGUAAAACUGAUAGUGAAUUCCUCUCGGAUGAUUUAGGUAGAUGUCCAGGAGAUGCAUCCUAGCUGCUCUAGCCACACUUGAAAAUAAUUCCAAACAACAGAUUCUUCAUCCAUGUUCCGAACCUUUGUGCAUUAGAUUUUUAAUGAGACUAUUGUCCGUUGUUUCUCAGCUAUCAGAACAAGAGUGUGAGAUUUAACCAUAAACGUUGUAUAUAUGUAUUCAACAUCAAGACACCAACAUGAUUAGUCCACAUUAUGAAACAGAAGAUAAAUUUAUCCCAAAGGAAAACAAAAGUUCAAGAUGAUCAUUUAUUGAUCAAAGUCACUGAGGCAACACUGCCAAAACAACACAACGAAGGACAGAUAGCAUUUCUCAGUACUAACCAUAUGCAUCAGGCUUCCACUAAACUUUCUACAUUGAGCUUGAAAUCGCCCUCCGGAAUAGUAUGUGCUUGUCACCUUGGAACGGGGAUAGUAGUUCUUUCAGCUUCCCUUAUAUUAUCGCAACAACCAAUAAUGUUAGUACUCAAAUUAAACUUCUUUUUUCUUAAUGGGUAUCCAGCAUCAAUGCCUGAAAAGGAUUUUUAAUAACACUUACAGUUGCACAUGAGUCCAAAUGUUGUGUAGAAGCACCUAUUUGAACAUCUUGAUCAUUAGAUACAGCAGCCUUCAACUCCAAAUGCUUAUUCAUGGCUGAUUCUUGGUGAACUUGAAUUCCACCAUUCUACAUCACAAUUCAAACUCUUUGCACCAGAAUAUCCCACUUCCUGAUGCAUUGAGAUUUUUCAGUAACUUUAUUACCUGAAGAGUUUUCACAUGUGAUGUUGGUAUUCCUUGAAAGAUUUUCAAAAACUUGAAAAAACUGAGAUAUAGGAUAACAUGCACAUGGUAGAGAGGUUGCCAAACCUUUUGCCCAUCAUAUCAGAGAGUCAGCACUCCCAUGUAUGUUUUAAAGAGAGACUUUCAGUUAAAUCCAUCUAACUCACAUAUUUCCGCAGGGUAAGAGAACUCAAGACUUUUCACACAUAAUGCUUAAAACCUACUUAAAUAACGGGAUAUUAUUCCGGCCAAGGAUCUUAAGCUUGUCUCCUCCCCUCAUAUCUUCAACAUAUUCCUUAAUCUUCAUAGAGGAAUCUUCAAGUUGAGGGCUCUCUACAAGUUUGAUAAUUUUCAAUGAACAAAUACCCCCAAAACUAGGCGGAAUCUCCUCAUCUUGCAGCUCACAUGUGCCCUUACUUACUGAACAAGAAGACAUCCAAAGAUAUUCCAUAGUCUCCAACCUUGCAGCAUUGACCAACAGAGCCUUGUCAUCACCGAAGGGGCAGUCUCUGGUCUCCACCUUACAAAGGCUUUCAAAACCAGAGUGGAGGCAUAGAUCACAUUCCCCACAAAAGCUAUGGAGAGACUCUCUAGCUUUUUAGCAUGGGCCCCCAUGUAAUGAAACAUGUGAACCAUAAGGAGGCCAGAAAGGGAAAGUGGCUGCAAUCCCUUGCAGUGAUGGAAGAUGGCCCCAAAACCAGCAUUGAGCUUUUCAGGGGUUAGGUAAUCAGAAGUUUGAGGCUUGAGUAAACACAAACGAAAUCGGAUCAAGUUAGGACGGUUCCUUGCAAUAGCAACCAAGGCAGCAUUUGUCAUUUGGCAGCCGAAGUAUAGAACCGAGUGGACCCAGCUGAGAUAGCAACAAGGCCUCUCUCUGUCAAGGAUACAUUCAGUUCUUGCACAUAAGGAAAUUCCCUAAUUAUGCUCUUCAAGUAAGGUCCUUACAAUAGUUGGCCAUCUCCUCAAGACCGAUAUCUUCAAUAUAAUCUAGCACCUGCAGUCGCAUUCAAAUACGUGAGUCUAUGGUGGACCAGAUGUAUAAACGGAACCCAAAACUUGGAAACAAUAACUUUGGCAGAAAUGAAGUCACGAUUUAAAUGGGAAUCUAGCACCAAGGGAUGCAUGAUUUAACCUACAACAAAGUUGAGAUAGCUCAUCCUGUAUUCACAGAGGAUUUUUAAAACCACUUACUGUUCCAAACGAGGCCAAACCUAUUCGAACAUCUUGAUCAUUAGAUAGAGCAGCCUGAUAAGUGCUUAUGUUCCUAGAUGUUUUGAUGAUCUCCUCGCAAGUGCAGGGACCUGGUCCUCUGCAUAGUAUGAAUACUCGUCCAGUUGUCAAAGUGUUGUACAACUGUAAAAGCUAUCCGUGUCAGGGAGUUGGUGAAGCUGCAGAGUACUUCACCAAUCAGAAGCGACGAGGUUGUUUGUAUGUUGGGUAAUAACUCUUCAUAGUAUAUAUCAAACAACAACCAACAGUAUUCAUCUCAUUCAUUCAAAGAGAGACACUUUCAAGUUUCAAAAACAUCAAGGGACCUGAUAGAAGUGCUUCUAUUGCUUUCUAUACCAGCUGUAAUUUGUUUGCUUGUAAUAGUUCUUCUAUUGUAGGAUUCGUUUUGCGUGUGAAAGAAACGUUUCAAACUUGUGUGAAUCAUUGUAAGAACUAGGUUAAGGGUAACUUAGCUUCUUACUCUAAAGUCUAUAUUAAUCGGCUAGGAUUAGUAUAGUGGCUAUGUUGUAUCUACUCUGGCUCAGCUAAGUGAUAGGAGGUAUUGCUUAGUGUGGAGAUUAGCAGGCUAAUCUCAUUUUGUAAACUGGCUUUUACUUUUGCUUGGUGAAGAUUAGUGAAAGCAGUUUGAAAAGUCCUGGCAAGCCAGGUCGUGGUUUUACUCCCUUGAGCAAGGAGGUUUCCACGUAAAGUCGUUUGUGCAAACUUUACCUUCUGUAUUUAUUUUACCGUCUGUUUUUAUAAUUGUAUUUAUUUUACCGUCCAAAAACUCACUGAUUUCCACACUUGGCCGAAUUUCCAGAUUCUAAAUUUUUUUCCUAAAAAUGACUACUUCCAAUUUCAAGCUUCUUCAUAUUCAUUUUAAAUUGUCGGAUGUUACAAUUUCUUCGGCGAUACCAUUUUGUUGAGGUGUAUCUGGACAAGAGCUUCGGUGUACUACCCCAGUUUUUCUGAAAAACUUCCUAAUUGUUCAUUAAAAAAUUCACGGCCAUUGUCACUCUGAAAAAUCUUGAUUUUCUCAUUGAACUGUGUUUCCACUAUGACAUAGAAAGUCUCAAACACAUUUUUAACCUCAGAUUUGUCCUUCAAUAAAAAAACCCAACUCAAUCUAGUAUGAUCGUCAAUAAAAGUUACAAACCACCGUUUCCCAAACAUUGUUGAAAUUCUAGACAGACCCCAAACAUCACUAUGAAUCAUUGUAAAAGGUUUUGAAGCCUGAUAUCUUUGAGAAGGAAAAGAAGAUCGGUGAUGCUUAGCCAUUUCACAAAAUUCACAUUGGAAUAAGGAUGGAUUUUUAUUUCUAAAUAACUGAGGUAACAAAUGUCUUAAAUAAUAAAAACUUGGAUGUCCAAGCCUAUAGUGCCAAAGCAUGACUUUAUUCAAAACAAAAGUAGAGUUCAAACAAAUAGGAUUCAGCUGUAGUGAGUUGUUCCCGUUGUCAAGAAAAUAAAGACCUCCUGAUUCUCUAGCACUGCCAAUCAUCUUCCCCGAGACCUUUUCCUGAAAUUCACACAAAUCGGAAUAAAAAAUAGCAUGACAAUUAAGAGAACGGGUUAAUUUACUGACAGAAACUAGAUUACAAGAGAGCUUUGGAACAUGAAGAGUAUCAUGAAGUACAAGGGAUGGUGAUAGUUUAAUAGUUCCUUUUCCAGCAAUUGCAGAGAAGGAACCAUCAGCUAUCUUGAUUUUACUGUUCCCUGCACAAGGAGUGUAAGUAGAGAAAAAACGGGAACUUCCAGUCAUGUGGUCACUAGCUCCUGAAUCUAUGAUCCAAGAAUCUAUUUGGUUGGAAUUGAUACUAAGAAAAGCAGACGAUACAGUACCUGUUUCAGCAAAAGAACAGGAAGGAUUAGAAGAAUUUUGUGCAUUUGCACGAAAUUGUGGAGAUUGAAGGAGUUUGUGCAGAAUUUCCAAUUGUUCCCUUGUAAAUGGAGACGUUUCUGGAGAAGGUUGCUGCCCCUGAUCAAAAUAAGUUGUUUGGAGGGCCUGACCAUUUUGAGAUUGAAAGCCACGAUCAUCAACUCCCUUUUUCUUCCAGUUUAGUGGUUUCCCAUGAAUCUUCCAACAUGUUUCACGGGUGUGCCAAUAUUUUUUGCAAUGAUCACACCAUGGCCUUUUGUUUUUGUCCUCUCCAUUCUUCACUAUUACAAGAGUUGAAGAGUCUAUAACAGGUUUUAGUUCAACAUUUAAAUCAGGUUUUAACAUAACUUUCCUCCUAGUUUCCUCUCUCCUAACUUCAGAAAAUGUUUCACGAAGUGAGGGCAGAGGAUUUUUUCCUAGGAUUCAAGACCUGACCUCAUCAAACUCUCGGUUUAAUCCUGCGAAAAAAAGGUACUCUCUCAUUUUCUUCCUUUUUUUUCUCUUUCACACUAUCCACAGAACACUCUCAUUCAUCAUUGUAACACUGGUCUAACUCCUGCCACAAGGACACCAUUUCAUUAUAAUAAGUAGUGACUUCAUUCUCACCCUGCUUAGCUUGCCAUAGUUUAAUUUUUAACUCAAAAAUUUGAGAGGCAUUUUCUACAUCUGAAUAUGUCUCCCUAACGGCUUCCCACACAUCCUUAGCAGUGGGCAAAAAGAGAUAAGAUUUACCUAUGACUGGUUCCAUGGAAUUUAUUAACCAAGUAAUCACGAGUGAAUUCUCUGAUCUACAGGAGUUCAUCUUUGGGUCUCCAACUCCCGGCUUUUUUUGUCUCUCCGGUCAGAUGUCCCAGCUUUCCACGGCCAUCGAUUGCAAGUUUUACGGACUGUGCCCAUUCCAGAUAGUUCUUCUCAUUUAAUCGAUGAGAAGUUAACUGGAAGGGCAUAUGAGAAGCAUUGCCUCCUUCUGUCAUCAGAUUUUCUGCAGGAGCUUCCAGAGAAGAACUUUUGUCUUCUGUUGAUGUUUCAGAAAGAUGCUCUCCGUGAAAGGCUGUUUUACCCAUAUGACAUUAGGGGGAAAAGUCCCGCUUUGAUACCAUGAAAGUUUAGAUACUGGAAAAGUAUAUUUUAUUCAUAGUGUUUCUACAGUAUUUAUAAGAGAACAAGUAAAGACCAAAUAAACUAAUCAAUCCCUAAUUCUUAGGAAAUCCUUGAAUCAAGGGAUUUCCUCUAAACUAUUUUCCUAGAAUAAUAUAUUCUAAUCCCAUAUUCACAGGAGCAGAUUCUAAUCAAAUCUGCCAGCUUUAUUUGUGGAGCAGAUUAUAAUCAAAUCUGCCAGCUCAAUGGUGGAGCAGAUUAUGACUAAAUCUGCCUACUCAUUCAACAAUUUUCUUAUCCAUCAUAGCAGAGGGUUGAACAAUAGCAAUACUUGUUCACUACAACAGAAUAAAAGAACAAGGAGGGAAACAGCAAUAAAAUGUCUGAGGUGUUCUCAAGCACGGGAAAGGAUUCCUCUCCAAAAUAUUGAUAUUCUCAAUGGUCUCUUCCUCCCCCCCCCCCCCACCCCGCCCCNNNNNNNNCCCCACUUCCCCUGAAUGAUUGUUUUCUCAAGGGACAACCAUUCAAGGUUGAAGGUCAAAGUCACUGAGCAAUAACAUACGUACACAAUAACUUUCAUAUAGAACCUUUUUUUUGUUUCCCAUCCUAGCAGAGAGUUGAACAAAGCAAUACUUAUUCACGUGAUACUUAUUGACACUUCCAAAACAGCACAACAAAGGACAGAUAGCAUUUCUCAGAACACUAAUCAUAUGCAUCAGGCUUCUACUAUACUUCUACAUUGAUCUUGAAAUCGCCCUCCACAUAGUAUGUGCUUGUCACCUUAGAGUUGGAACCACCAUCUGGUGACUUCUCAAACUUCACCUCAUUAAGUUAUUUUUUUGAGUUUUUCUACCAAAGCUCAUAUAUCCUAUACUUAAUGGACUUAAAGUUGCCACCUUCAGAAAAGAAGCCACGGUUAGAAGAAUAUUAGUGAUUAAAAUGAGAGUCUAUCCAAAAUUAAAAAAGAAUUAACUAGGAUGAAGAAUGUUGUAUAGAAGAACCUAUUUGAACAUCUUGAUCAUAACAUACAGCAGCCUUCCACUCUCAAAUGUUUAUCGAUGGCUGAUUCUUGGUGCACGUGAAUUCCACCAUGCUGCAACACAAUUCAAACUCUUUGCUGCAUUGGAAUUUCUGGGUAACUUUAUUACCUGAGAGUUUUCACAUGUUUGUGAUGAUGGUAUUUCUUAAAAGAUUUACAAAAAACUUGAAAAAAUUGAGGUAUAGGAUAACUUGCAUAUGGUACAGAGGUGCCCAACCUUUUGUUUGACUUUAAAUUGAUAGUAUUUCUUAAAAGUAUGUUCUCUUUAAAACAAAUGCUUGCCAUUUGACUCGAAAGUGUUUAGUAGUAGAAACACUUCAUUAUGUGAAUGGGUUGGUUGAUGUAUUCAACCUUUUCUUUAACCAACAUAAAAGGUUAUUAUAUCAUAUUAUGCAAUAUUUCAACUAGCAAAUGGAUAUGUUGAUUUGAAUUUUGAAAGCUCUAUGUCGACACUUUUGUUGGAAAAAUUUAGUACUGUUAAACUCUUCAAAUAUAUUACUCAAAUAUUUCUACUUAGUAUUCACAAAUAGAACAGCAAACACAUUGUAGACAUCUUUUAAUAUUUGCCACUACAGGAAUGGAGAAGAACCUGUUCACACAUAAUGCUUAAGAGCUACUUAAAUAAUGAUUUGAAGCUCCUCCCCUCCCCUCAUAUCUUCAGCAUAUUCCUUAAUCUUCAUAGCGGAAUCUUCAAGUUGAGGACUCUCUACAAAUUUGAUAAUUUUCAAUGCAUAAAUAUCCCCAAAACUAGGUGGAAUCUCCUCAAGCUUACAACAUCCCUGCAGAGUUGAGGACUCUCUACAAAUUUGAUAAUUUUCAAUGCAUAAAUAUCCCACGGGAAAGGAUUCCUCUCCUCAAGCUUACAACAUCCCUGCAAUUUUAAUUUCUCAAGCACGGGAAAGGAUUCCUCUCCUCAAGCUUACAACAUCCGUCAUGGUGGCAUCCUAUAUAAAACUUGAGCAUUCUCUAAAGAUAGUAUUCUCCUUCUAUAUCUCCUACAAUAAUUGGGACACAGGCAAAGCAAAGUAACUCAACAUAUAUUUAGUAUGAUAUUCUACAACACUGGAUGUCCUGUUGAAAUGUAUGCGUCCACUAUCAGUCAACGGACCAGGUCCCUUGACUCAACAAGUACAGUAACUGAAGUAAAAGUGCGGAAAAUAAAUGGCACAACGUAAAUCAGGCACAAUGAUGUUUACGUGGAAACCUCCUUGCUCAAAGGAGUAAAACCACAUGUCACACAGGAUUUUCAACUGUUUUCACUAAUCUUCUCGAGAAAAAGUGAAACACAGAUUACAACUACCAAUGAGAUUAAACUCUUAAACUCAACACUAAGUAAUACGCCUAUUACUUACUGAGCCUAAGCAAUACUCUUAUUGCCCACUAAAUCAACUAACUCUAGUUGAUCUAGACUUUAAGAACCCCACAAGGCUAACUCUAGCCACCAACUCUAAUCUCCGAGAUAAGAGCUAAACAAGCAACAACUCUGCUGCACCACACAUCAACUACCUCUAGUUGACACUCUUAGGUAACUCUACCCAAGACAACAUCAAAACAAUGAUGUAAAAAGACUUGACCAAAACUUAGAUGAUUCGACUAACUAACUCUAGUUAACACGACUCAAACUAAUUAUUUAGACAAGCAACUGAUCUACUAUCCUUUAUAACUUAGGAGUAGAUUUACAAUGUAAUCACAUAAGACACAAAGCUCAAAAUACAAUAAAGACUCUUCUUCACUCUAUCAGGUCUCUUUGUUGAGUUGAGCAGUGUUCUUCCUUGAAGAUGGCCUUCUCUUUGUAAGCUUAAGAAUAUUAUUUGCCAAAUCUUGAGUUUGUGUUUUGUGAGAAGAGACUAUAUCAAAUGAACACAAACUCUUUGAGACAGGCCCAUUGGCUGAGAGUCUGCUUCUCUAAAAGGACGUGCACCAACCACAUCAGAGGUGGAAGCUUUUCUGACAAUUGUCUUGUCGUCCUUUUCACACAUGCAGUCUUGUAGGGACCAUGUCCCUUGCAAUGUUCUUUGUGAGUUCUUGAGAAGAUUUGCUAACUCUCUUUCUCUUUUGAAUGAAUGAAUCUUCUUGUUGUUUGUCAUUUUGAUUAUAUCGACCAAAAAGAAUUAUUGUCCAUUGGACAAACAACCUCGUCUGUUUCUAUUGGUGAAAUACGCUGACGACUUCACCAACCCACUGACAGGACAACUUUACAGCUGUACACCAUUAUAAAUCUGGAAAAGAGAACUCUGCCAGGGACUGGGUCCUGCAUUUGUGAGCCACUGAACAGACAGUCUCGUCCUCUCUUCUUAUUGGUACAGUACACUGCAUUUUUCACCUACCACCUGACAUGACAACUUUACAGUUGUACCCUAUUUGAAUCUGGAUAAGAGCACUUUGUCAGGGACCUGCAUUUGUGAGGAUUAUCAAAACACCUAGAAUAUAACAUUUUCCCCCUUUUUGAUGAUGACACACAAAUAUUCCUCACACUGAGUUUAUUCAUUCAUUUUCCCUGUCGUCAGUCCCAAUAACAAGGAUCUGGUUCCUUAUUAGAUCUAUAAGUUUAUUAAAUCAUCAAAACUUAACAUCAGCUCCAAAAUAAUAUUUUCCCCCUUUUUGAUGAUAACAAACUUAUUUACCUUCUUCCCCCUUUCACCAGUUCCCCGUAUCAACAUGACUCUUCAGGUAACUGGAUUGGUCCCCUUAUUUUCAUCAUCCCCGAAGUUUGUCAAAUCAUCAAAACUUCACAUCAGCAACAAAAUAGCAUUUCCCCCCUUUUUGAUGAUGACAACCUUGUUCAACUUUUUCCUUCUAUCGGCAUGACCAUGUCCUCUUCAAGUAGCUAGCAUUGAUUUCCCCUAUCGGCAUGACCAUGUCUUCUUCAAGUAGCUAACAUCAUUGAUCUCAUACCUUAACAUGUCCAUUAGUAGAUAAUGUGCCUAGUUAAAACCUUACUAGAAAAAUCCCGUGGGAAAAAAGUGAUCUCUCUAAAUUGCUUUGGCUGCUUGUUGUUUUACUAACCUCGUCUGCCAUUAUUAAAAUAUUCAUGGGAUAACACAAGCGAAAAAUUGAUAAAAUCGCCUAAUUCUUGUUAAAUGACCUCUAAAUGACAAAAAUAUGUCAUGGAUCAUGGUGAGUCUAUACGUACUGUUCCCCCAACUCAUUAUGGAGGGUCAUGAAAAGAUUUUUCAAUUGAUAUUCUUCUUUUCCACUUGUUCUUUCUUCCACCAUCUCCUCCAAAACCCAAAAUAUACACCCUGUCAUAUGCAGUAGCUUUACUAAACAAAUACUACAUCCGAACACCCCGUAGUUGGAAAAUUAAUUGAUGGUGGCGAUUGAUAAUUACGGUGGAUGAUAAUGAAAUUUAACGGUGGUGGUGAUGACUAAAAACAAAGAGAUUGGCCAUAGAUUAUGACAUAUUGAUGAUGGUGAUUGUCAAGUAGUACAACUAAUAUGCCUCUUGUUAUAAAAGUGACUCAGAUAUAUCCUUAUCGUUAUAAAAGUUGCUCAUAUAGUUAUGUAACAGUAGGAGUAUUUUAUGUGAGCCACUUUAUAACAAGGGUAUAUUAUCAUUAAAUCGCAAAGUUGAGGGGUAUAUUAGACCCUUUCCUCUUUUUUAAAUCCAAACACCUUCAAUGUUAACCAAAUAGUUACUCUUACAAACAAUUCCUUUACAAGCAUAUAAAACAUCAAUUUACUAUUGCAAGGAACCGUCCUAACAUGAUCCGAUUUCGUUUGUGUAUUAUCGAGCCUCAAACUCCUGAUUACUUGACCCUUGAACCACUUGAUGCUGGUUUUGGGGCCAUUGUGCAACACUGCAAGGAAUUACAACAACUUUCCCUUUCUGGCCUCCUUACAUAUCGUGUUUGAGUACAUCGGGGUCCAUGCUAACAAGUUAGAGAUGCUUUCCUUAGCUUUUGCGGGGGAUAGAGACUGCCCCUUUGGCAAUGAGGCUCUGUUGGAUAAUGCUGCAAAGCUGGAGACAAUGCGAUCCCUUUGGAUUUCUAAUUGGUCAGUAAGUUUUGAAGCAUGUAAGCUGUUAGCCCAGAAGUUGCCAGGGCUUAAUGUUGAAGUUAUAGACGAGAGGGGUCCUCCGGAUACGAGACCAGAAAGUUGCCCUGUUGAGAAACUUUAUAUAUACAGGACAGUGUCAGGAAGGAGGUUUGACACUCCUGGUUUUGUUUGGAUUAUUGAUGAAGAUCAGCAUUGACUCCAUAUAGCAACGGUUAUUGCUCUCUGGCUUCUUCUUAGGAAGACUUCAAGUAUUGGUUCUAUGUUAAUCUUUCACCCGCGUUUACUUGCUUGAGCCUUGUGUAGUUGCAGUGCUGGUUAUGGUGGCAGUGAAGCUCGUGUGCCAUCGAUUUGACCCUUUGUUGAGCGACUUCGCAACAAUUAAUUACAAAUAAUGAGUUUAAACUCUUGUUGUUGUGCUAUAUCAGUAAGGACAACUACUGUAUUUUUGGGUGGGAGGGAGGCAUGUUCAACUGUGUAUGUAUCAGUUUUACUUUCUCUAGUGACUUGUUAUUCUGUUGAAAUGGUGCUGUCAAUGUACUUCUGUUCAUGUAUUGUUGUAAUUCUCUUUGAAGAUUAAUGUGAACCUUUCAUUCAUUUUGAGUGCUGGAAAUCCCAUUUGUUGAACGUUUAGAAAAAGGUAUUUCAGUGUUCUACUACGAGUCAGUUUGAUAAACAAACACUUAUUUUCGUUCAGAGUGGAAUUUCAACCUAAGUUGUUCGACUGUUCGAGGAGAGGAAGUCAUGAGUGCUUAUUAGUUCUCUACAACCUCUUCACUUCACUUUUCUUUGAAAGUUCGUUGGGUUUGUGACAGAGUAGUAUCAACGUCGUUUUAAAUCAGUACCUUGAUUGAGGUUGAACGAUCGUGCUUUGAGCACAUAAGAUGGGACUUCAGACCAAGUUAGACACAAAGGAGGUUUGGACAGCCAAAGGCAAAUCCGCAGUGUAAUCUAUGAAUUCAUGUGAAUCCCUCAACUUUUGUCAAAAUCCUAUACAUAUGUGUAUUAAGUUAUCUGCUUAAUAAUCAUAAAUAUGUGAUUGUGAAUCUAAUUAUUAUUGAUGUUAACGUGAGGUUGCCAUAGAAACUUGUAAACGUCAAAUCCUGGAUUUGUCUCCGCAGACGGCUUAUAAGCAGUCUACAAGAAAAUAAUUGUGUGAAUACAAAGAAAAAAAUAAGGCCAAACACAUAUACAACCCCUCUAACUUGUCCACAUUUUUCAUUUUGACACUUUAUCUUAGCCUUGUUCCAUUUUAACCCUUAAACUCCAUUUUUUAUGUACCAUUUUAACACGAAAUACUAUUUUUAUGAUUUCUUUAUUUUAUAUAUAUUCUUCAAUUGCAACUUCUUAUUUUAAAUCGACAUGUGUCAGUUAAUUUUAGUUUAAAAAUUAAAAAUUAACAAAAAAUAAUUCUUUUAAAAAAAUGAUAAUUUCUUUUUAAGAGUGUUAUGUAUUUUUGUGUGAAAAAUAACCGACGAAAUUGUGUUGAUUUUCUUUCUUUAAAAUCANNNNNNNNNNNNNNNNNNNNNNNNNNNNNNNNNNNNNNNNNNNNNNNNNNNNNNNNNNNNNNNNNNNNNNNNNNNNNNNNNNNNNNNNNNNNNNNNNNNNNNNNNNNNNNNNNNNNNNNNNNNNNNNNNNNNNNNNNNNNNNNNNNNNNNNNNNNNNNNNNNNNNNNNNNNNNNNNNNNNNNNNNNNNNNNNNNNNNNNNNNNNNNNNNNNNNNNNNNNNNNNNNNNNNNNNNNNNNNNNNNNNNNNNNNNNNNNNNNNNNNNNNNNNNNNNNNNNNNNNNNNNNNNNNNNNNNNNNNNNNNNNNNNNNNNNNNNNNNNNNNNNNNAAAUCUCAAAAAAUAAUAUUAUUGUUUGAAAUUUUUUAUGUUCGUUCGCAAAUGUUUAAUUUUUUUACGAAAAUUAACAGGCACAUGUCUAUUUUUUUAAAAUAAGAAAUUGCAAUUAAAUAACAUAAAUAAAAACAAAUCAUAAAAAUUAGCAUAAGUGUUUAAAUGGUACAGAAAAAAUGGAGUUUUAAGGGUUAAAGUGGAACAAGGCUAAGUUGGAGUGCCAAAUGAAAAAUGAGGACAAGUUUGAGGGGUUGUGUAUGUGUUUGGCCAAAAAAUAAAGAGAGAAUGAGAAUGGAAAACAUACAUAGCAUAGAAUAAGAGAUACCUAGUGGCAGAAAGUAACAAAACUCUGCUAUUGUUAGAAAAGCAAAAGCAUAAAUCAAUGUAAAAUCCCACAAAAAUGUUUUCUGAAUUAAAUUUCUUUUUCUUAGAAACAGGAGGAAAUAGGCACCAAUUUCUAAAAUCCCACAAAAAUGUUACAUAAAAACUGUAACAGAUUUUUCUUUAUCAUAUACAAUAUCACCCAGCAAAGUACAAUCUACUUUUCAACCAUAAUGCUACUUAAAUAACGGGAUAUUAUUCCGGCCAAGGAUCUGAAGCUCAUCCCCUCCCCUCAUAUCUUCAGCAUAUUCCUUAAUCUUCAUAGCGGAAUCUUCAAGUUUAGGGCUGUCUACAAGUGUGAUAAUUUUCAAUGAAUAAAUAUCCCCAAAACUAGGCGGAAUCUUUUCAAGAUCACAACAUCCCUCCAGUUUCAAUUUCUCAAGUGUAGGAAAGGAUUCCUCUCCAACCUCCCACCUAGCAAGAGUCACUUGAUGCAACUCCAAAUAUUUGAGAUUCUCAAAGGUGUCUUCCUCCCCCAUGUUCCAUUCUUCCCCCCAUAUGAUUGUAAAAUAAAGGAACAACUCUUCAAGGUUGGGCAGUCUCGCUAUUGUUGAUAGUGAAUUGAAUGUCAGAGGAAACUCAUCCAACAACAAUAUUUUCAAAUUCGAAGGGAAGUGAAAAUCCCAUUGCCGAUUUAUGGCUGCAGGGGACCCACUGUCAUUUAUGUUUGACCUUGCAAAAUACCAGUGAGUUCUUCUAGUUCAGUUAGGAAAUCCAAUUUCGGGAACCAAUGUUGCUCUGCUGAAUAAUCCCAUGAUUCCUUGAGAUCAAACUUAAGCACUUGAAGAUUGGGAAGCCUUUUGAAAAUAUCCUCUGUAUCUUUUGAAUAGGAAAGCAUGGGUUUCCCUAAUAUUCUCAAGUUCUCUAACUUUGUGUCCUCUACUAUCAGUAUUGAUUCAUCUGCAUCCAAAUCAAAGAAAGAACAAGCACUCACGGACAGACCUUGCAACUUUACAAGAUCACCAAUUCUUGGUAAUAGUACCAAGGUUGAUCCUUCGUUAAACACCAACAAGAUUUCUAGAUUCCAGAGGUUUGAGAAAGACAAAGGCAGAUAUUUAACUUGUGUCCCAAUGCUUAAGUACCUCAAAUGAUUCAACAUGCAUAUUUCAUUCAGCAAAGAAUCUUCCACCGUGAUAAAAGAGGUAUGCAGUUCCAAGGCUCUAAGAAGCCUCAAGUGUCUUAGAUGAAAUGUAUCAGAAACACUAUCGGCCAGCUUGUCUCCAUCUAUGGUCAAAGAAUAGAGGUGUUUACGAGAAUGCCUUUUCUUAUUUGAAUCAAACAGGACAAAAUUGUUAAUCCCCAAUAACUCGCUGUUAUAAUGAAUGGCCAUUAUACGUGGCAUCAAAUCUGAAGAAGAAGAUGGUGUACUUGAACUUAUAUGGUCAAACAACUUUUCCUCUCUUGCUUUUAUCAAACAAAAUUCAUGCACAAGAUCAUGAAGUUGGUAAGUCGGGUCAUCACCUAUCUCAUUGAAAGCAAUUACCAAGCUACUGGAAAUUAAGUUAUCCAAAUAAACCUUCAUCACUUCUUUCACACUCUUCAUCUCUGUCUGUUCCACAAGUCCUUCAGCAUGCCAUAAACCAUUCAACACAAAGAUUAAGAUUGCAGUGUCCUUCGGAAAGCUUGCAAGGUAAAGAAAGCAUGGCUUGAUGUGAUGUGGCAAAUGGUCAUAGCUUAAUUCUAUAAGCUUCAUCACUUUCACUUCACCGUUCGUAAAAAAGGAACUCAAAUUAUUUCGAACUUCAAGCCACACUGUCUUUUUCUUUUCCAAACCUGCAAUGACUCCAGCAAUCAGAUCAGCCACCAAAGGAAGCCCUUUACAAUUUUCGGCUAUUUCUUUACCAACAUCCAAUAGUUCAUCAGGGCAACUCUCGUUUCCAUAUGCCCUUUUCUCUAAUAACUCCCAACUUUCUUCUGAUCUUAGCAAUCGAAGGUUAAGAGGAGCAGUGUAGAGCUUUUCCAUGCAAAGCCACUUUCCUUUUGUCGAGUUGUCAAAAUAAUUCUACUUCCUUUCUUAGCUUCAGGAAAAGGUCUUGUCAACUCAUCCCAUGUAGUAGUAUCCCACACGUCAUCUAAGACAAUAAGAUACCUCUUUCCAUAUAGUUGUUUUCGUAGCUUAUCAGCAACAUCAAUAUUCUCACUCAAUUUUGAAUAUGAGUCACUUACUUGAUUGAAAAUUUUAUCCAACAACUUCUUCUCCUCAUAUCCUUGGUCGACCGUGCACCAUGCACAAAGGUCGAAAUGGCUAGAAACGGAUUUAUCAUUGUAUACUUUGUAUGCUAAAGUAGUUUUACCUGAACCCGGCAUACCAGUGAUCGAAAUGACAUCUAGAUCUGCCGGUCCACUGGUGAGCUUUCUAAGUAUCAAGUUUGUCUCCUCCUCAAAACCUACAAUUAUUUUAUCAGUUGUCAAUGACUUUCUCUCAACUGGUUUCUUGGGAGAGUUCACAACGAUGAGACCUCUGUUCUUGGAAAUGUUCUCAUGUAAAUCAGAGACCUCUUCUUUGAUAAGCUUCAUCUUCUUUAUGGUAAUGGGAAGUGAGAAAAUAAGAUGUAAGAGACCAUUAUCUCUAACAAUAAUUGAAUCAAUGACAUCUUUUACCUCAUAUGCCACAUCUAAACCACGUGCCCAAAGAUCUUUAUACAUUUCUUGUUCAACAUUCACCAAGAACGAUCUUAUGAAUUCUAGGUCUUGUUUCACCAGCUCAAUUUCUUUCCUUAUCCAAGCAAUUGAAUAAGCAUUGGAAUCCAGUAAAUCAUUCAAAUGUAUGUGUAGUAGAUGCAUGAAGAGCGGUCCAUCACUCAUGGGGAAGCAACAUUGAGAUGAAUCCGGGACUUUCAGAUAAACAUGUUUGAGAUCUUCCUUGAGGAGAUCAAUAUUUUCCAGCAACUUUAGGGUUGCACGAUUUGUCUCAUCGGUACUCUCUUUAUUCCUUAAUUUCUCUUCUAAGUCGCGAACAAGAGUUGAUACCUCCUUGAUAAGUGCUCCAACAAGUGCCAAUAGAUCAAAUAAUUUGUCAUGAUGAAUAAAGUCCUUGGGCAUAUCAGAAAGAAUAAUUAAUAGGAACUCAAUCAUGACAUGAAUGUUUCGAGCCCCUAAAGUGCUAGGGGUAAUAACAGUUACCAUGUGCUCCUGUAGAUGAAUAAGAUAUUCCCGAAGAAUAUCCGGAGAGGUUUCCAGGAGCUGCUUAAUGAAGAGUCCAAUUUCUACUGAAGUUGAAGCUUUCAAAUUUGUAUAACACCCGAUUUCUUUGCCAUCAUCAUCCAAAAUUGGUUGAAGCAGAUUCUCAACCUCUUGUCUUUUUCUAGUCAUUAUAUCUUCAAACUGCUCCAAAUCGGAAUAAGAAAGCUGGACAUAUGUACAAAUAAAUGUCAGCUUCAAUUUCAGGCUUUCAAUUAGAUCCACAUCAACAGCCUUUUGAUCUUCUUCAUCCUUUAAUCUCUCCAUGAAAUCCAGAACAUUGGCAACGUCCUUGCGAAGAGCAGAAAAUGACACCUGCCAAAAUAAUACAUAUCAAAAUUUUAAAGCCAUAUAGCUACAAUUCAACACUUUACAGUUCACUCUAUCAAAUAACAUACCAAUGAGUUAUUUGCUUCUUCAUUAUCUUUUCGUUUUUCCAUGAUUCUACUUUUCCUUUCCAAGUUCUCAAGACCUGAUGCGUAAAAGUACAUAAAACUUUAUCAGGAGAAAGAAGAUGAAAUGACAAGAAUAAUCAAUAAUUUCACUAUUUUCACACGAACUUAAGAGGAAGACUUAAUUAGUGGAAGAUGAUAAAGGUACACUUGCGAUUUGAAUUGAAGAAAAUGACUUGUAAAAAUGGAGUUCAUCCAGAAACGAGACCAACUGGUACCGAACCUUUCUAUCUCUAAUAGCGUAUAGUAAUAUAUUUUCAUUAGUGAGGGGAAUCUUUUGUCAUCUUAGAAAAAAUCUAAAAGAUCUGCUUCUAUUCACUCCGCACUCUCCAACCCCCUCCCUCUCACCCGGUAAGAAUUCACCCGCACUGGAUAUUAAUACCAAACUAAUACAACUUAUCAUGGGUAAGUAAUAAUUUAAUGAGGUGAAAGUAUACAUUAACUAACCACAAUUAAGUGAUAAUGUUGUGCAUCUAUUGAUUUGUUGUAAAUCGGUGGUGUGAGUAAGUAUUUAGCCCUCUCUCUUUCUCCUGCAUUUUGUUUACCUCUCUCUUUGUGCGAUCCAACUAACCUACCAAAGUUCUUUCAUUUUUCUUACAUCACUUUUACUUUUCCAGAAUUUUACUUCAAUAGAGAUAAGAGUAGCAAAUACUAGAUGAGUUGACUAACCUUUUUAGUUGAUGAAACUAUAUAUCCUCUGCUUGCUUUGUUAUUAGAUCUGUAGAGCUCAAAAUUCAGGAAAUAAACAGAGGAAUAAUUAAGACCAAUUAUGAUGCAUAGUAUUAUUCCAAAAAAGUAAGAAAGCAAAAGCAUGAUUGAAUUACAAUGGGGACUCACUUGUCUGCCACAAAGGAAAAAGAUAAGAAAAUUAAUCAAACUUUCAAUAUUCUGCUCACUUUAUAUCACUUCCUCUGUUUUAUUUUAUUUGACACUAUUUUGUUUGUUGGACAUUCUAAUAAUUUCUUAGGUAAAGGUUCUUAUAUUGCAUGUUUCAAAAAACAUAAAGAAGCAACCAUGCUAGAAGCAAAAUCCAAUAUGCUAUAAUUAAUGGUCAUUUGGUAGUUGUAUAAAACAAGUUUUAUCCAUGUAUUAGAGUCCGUAUGACUUAUACGACGUUUGGUAGGUGGAAAAGAAAAAAGUUAUUCAUGUAUAUAAUUAAUACAACGUGUGGUAGGUGGAUAAGAAAAAAGUUAUUCAUGUAUAAAAUUAAUAUGUCGGUUGGUUAGAAUAACAUACCUAAUAUUCAUAUUACAAGUUCAUUUAGAAUUGUGGAGAUGAAUGUUAGCUUGUGAAUCUAGAUGAUGUUGUCCUACGAUUUAAUUGACAGGGUGGAGUAACAUUGCAUAUCUUUUUUGGUAUUACGUGAAUUCAACAGUGGCAAAUGCACCUCUGAUUAAGAAUGAAGGAUUCUAAACACUCCAAAUCUUUUGUGUCUACCGCGGUUGCAUAUUAUUGACCUAACGACUAUGGUGGGGAUCAUGUCACUACCCAAAUUCCAAAGCUAGGACUAACACCUAGCAAGCCACAACCCGCUAGGAGAACCAUUGCAUUCAAUCACCAAACUCAAAUUAAAGUCUGAAUUCUCAUUCAUCCCACCACAGCCCGAGACCUCCUAAGAGACUUUAAGCAUAAUCAUACUUUUUGACAUAUUUUUGUUGGACAGGUUGAAGUAAUAGGUUGAAAGACGAAUCAAAUAGCUAGAUCUAGAUUUAGAAAUUCCAAGAUUAUUAAAAUAUAAUUCAUCGACUUCUCAGGUCUUUUAAAUACCUAAAGUGCUCAGUGUUGGAUGGAAUUCAUCGACAUCACCAAACGUACAAAAAUUGAGAGCUGGAUGGAAUCUGUUGAAAAAAAAAAAAACAAGUGGUUGCCAUUUUAUAUAACAUUGAGUGUAGAUCCAUUUCCACUACAAGAAUCAGAAUAUUGAACAGUCAGUAUAUUUGGUUUCUCUGCAGCAAAAUUGUAUAAGAACAUGAUCAAAAGAAGAGAAAAAUCCUUCUGUUAUAUCUUUAGAGUCAUAAUGAAAAAUGAAAUCCCUAAGAGACUUUGAAGAUAGAUCUUACCUUAUCACAGUCUGAAGUUUAGCAAUAUUAGAAUCCGUACGUUGUUUGAGUUGAAGAGUGACAAAGUGAGCAAAAUGAUUUUGCUAAGUGUAAAGGUCAACAAUAGAAAGAAGCUGGAUCUACAUCUUCGGAAGUUAUACAUAUUCGUUAAUCAAUUGUUAAUUCUGCUCCUUUGUCUGAAUGCUUGCUUUUAGAUGCAGAAUGAAUUAUUAAAAUACAAUUCAUAGUCUUUUUUAAUCAGUUAUUUGCAGUCUCUUGUCUUGACCUGUAAAUUGUAAUCUAAUACAACC
RNAcentral lists this long non-coding RNA (24043 nucleotides) under Solanum tuberosum (potato). RNAcentral describes it as "long non-coding RNA (STUB_LNC006053)". The record is from RNAcentral. Lineage: Eukaryota; Viridiplantae; Streptophyta; Magnoliopsida; Solanales; Solanaceae.